CACCGCCCAUCGGAAGGAGUAUGAGACCGAGGCGGUUCCCUCUGUUUUAUGAAUUUAAUCCAUAACCACCGUCUCUCUGCCCUUUCAUCUUCUCUCUUCCCCAAGUAACAUUUCUCAUACAAAUACUCCUUAUCUUUCUCCUUUCUCAACCAACGCAUUCUCUUAUAUUCUACGUCAACCUUCCUAUGAGCUACAAAUCUAUUUCAACUCAACUUCCUUCCAAAGAUGUCUUCUCCAAAUUUUCCUCGCCUAUUCUUCCAAUUUUUUGAAUGUUUGAUUGUUAGGAUUUUCGCCUUAUAGUUUUCUCCAGCGUCAAUUCAGCUGCUGUUUUUCAUUUCCUUCAUGGAGACUAUGGCGGUGGAGCCCUGGGAUGUGAUGUAUCAUACUGCAAAUCACGGUGAUGAAGCAUCUGUAUCGGAUUGCGAAAGCGGCACUACCCAUAAUGAGCACAUUCAUGGGCUGGUGAGAUUGGAUGAAGAUGAAAAACUGCACCGCAUUAUCGAGAAAGCAUUCGUUUCUGGCUUGGGUCCCCUUCGACAGCACACGUCGGUUGUGGACAUCCAUAGAAAUAGGUACGCCAGUGUUAUCUCCCAAGCCCGGAUGCAAUCGUUUAGGAUUUUCGGGCGCGCGGUGGAGAAGAAGUGUGGGGGCAAUGCUAAUGUGAAAUUCGGGUGGUAUGCUGCAUCGAAGGAUGAGAUUGGUAGAAUCAUCUCUCAUGGUUUUAGCCACAGCAAUGGGUUAUAUGGCUGCGGGGUCUAUCUAUAUCCGCAUCAUUCUUCCAUUGAAAGUAUGAAAUCGUGUGUUGUUGAUGAGGAUGGUCUAAGACAUCUGUUACUUUGCCGAGUAAUUUUGGGGAAAAUGGAGGUCGUGCAUCCAGGGUCUCAACAGUAUCAUCCGAGUUCUGAAGACUUCGAUUCAGGUGUUGACAAUCUUCCAGCUCCUAAGAAGUAUAUUGUGUGGAGCACCCACAUGAAUACCCAUAUUUUGCCAGAAUAUGCUGUAACCUUCAGAGCUCCUCCUUGCUUGAAAGGAUUCCUCAAUACGCAAGGUUCCUUGAAGAAACCAACUUCCCCUUGGAUGCCUUUUACAACUCUAAUAUCUGUGCUUUCCAAGUUCUUACCUCCUCAAUCCGUUAACUUGAUUGCCAAGCAUCACCGUGAUCAUAGAGAGAAUAAGAUCCCACGACAUGAGCUGAUUCGACUAGUGAGACAAAUAGCGGGGGAUAAGUUGCUCACAGUGGUCAUCAAAUCCCAUAGAGCCAAGCAACUUAAUUCAACUAAUGGUUCUCACCAGAGGAAGGCUCAAAAUGGUGCCAGGAAUAGAAUGGACAGCAUUCAGCAACCAGGCAGUAGCAUUGAAUCAAUUUAUCUCGAAUGAGCUCUAGUGUAAAGUUGCAAGUUGCAAUGGCAAAGCGAGAUGAGAAGGCAGAUGGAACCUUAUCUGUAUGGAACUGACAUAUACCAUGAGCUAACUUGAAGCUAACUUGACCACACACCGAUGGGAACAGACGCAACAGAUGCCUGAGGCUUGAGUUUGGAAUAAGAUGUCUCUACUACUAUAUCUAGAGCCAAAUCUUUUUGAAGAUGGAAAUGGCCUGCUGAUUCUAGACAUGCACCAUUCAAAUUCUUUUCUUCUAGACAUUUUCCCGAUGAGUCUAGAAUGUUGGAAGCAGCUAUUUUGUAGUGUUGGUCAUAUUAUCAUACCCAAGCAUUUGCCUUAUGAGCUUCCUCUUCCUUCCUCCCCAAGAAAAUGGAUCUCCAUUAAGCCGAAGGAGACCUGGGAAAAAAAAAAGGGAGAAAAGGCCCCCUAAUUUGGAGAGGAUGGAUUUGUAGUGUUUUUUUUCCCUCUCUUUUCUGCCUUGCAAACAAAGAAAUAUAAACAAUGGCAACUACCCAUAGGUGGAGACCCAGUCAAGCCUUGGGAGGAAAGAAAAAGAAAAAACAAAGAUGGUUAUGGUGUGGAAAUGGCAUACUAUUUACGCGUUGGCUUUUGGCGGCGUUACCAACUUUGGCAUAGACGGCCGAUCACAAAUUGACUAUGUGGAAUGACCAACUACAUUCGCUUUCCAAUUGUUGUGACAUUUCCUUGAACUUGGCCCGGUUAUUUUGUACAGCCCAAUUGUGUAAUAAUGGGCUUAAUUUUCAGGGCUUCUGGAUUGUGGGCAUUGUAAA
Molecule: RNA transcript, 2171 nt
Organism: Vitis riparia (riverbank grape)
Lineage: Eukaryota; Viridiplantae; Streptophyta; Magnoliopsida; Vitales; Vitaceae
Gene name: probable inactive poly [ADP-ribose] polymerase SRO2
Exons: 6
Source: RefSeq, a predicted model, not a curated record